This is a long non-coding RNA of Symphalangus syndactylus (siamang), 1012 nucleotides long. RefSeq lists it as uncharacterized. Lineage: Eukaryota; Metazoa; Chordata; Mammalia; Primates; Hylobatidae. The record is from RefSeq and is a predicted model, not a curated record.
CCUAGUCCCCGCCCCGUUUGCCCAUUUUCCAAAAAAUCAGAGCAUAACCCGUUCUAACCCGAUUCCCUGCUCUGUUAUGUUAUGUCUGCCCUCCUCUGAUGCUUGGGAAAUCGUUUGUUCUGUGGGCUUCUCCUGAGGAGAUGGAGGAUUUUCAGAGCUUGCAGAAAGAAUUUGAGACCACCUUCAACCAGAGAAGCCUCUGUGGAAAUGUGCCGUCACUGGCCAGUUGUUCUGUCUGUCUGCUGUGGAAUCCAGGCCUGUGAGAAGAGCAGGGGAGUUAUAAUCAUUUCCCUUGUUUUAGGGCAGAGGAAACUGAAGAUAAAGCUAUGAAGUGAAGCUGGCUAGUGGCUGCCUCAGGGUUACUACUGAUAUCGCUGGACCCCUUCAGAACCAAGUAUGAAUGAAGCAAUCCUUUUUCCCACCUGCAAGUGAGGCUCUGAGGGAUUCUUCAGAAAUCAAGACUUUGACCCACUCCAUAUUAUUAACGCCUCAGCCUACAAAGAGCUUGCCUAACCCAACUUCAAGGGGUGGACACAUGAUCCUGGACUUCCAGGUACCAGAGACAGGCCUUGCUCCACCUUCUAUAAGCAUAUGCCUACACAGGCAGGCUGGGUAUUGCAUGUUCUGAAGAGCAGUUACUGUAUUUAAUUCAUAGUUGUAUCCCCAGUGCCUUACGGCAAGCCUGCCACAUGGUUGUAACUAAUAAUUGUGUGGUAAAUGAAUCAAGUUCCAUAAAGUCUUUAAAUUUCAAAGGGUUAUUGGCUCCUUUCUCGGCUUUCAGGCAGGAUUGUAUCCUAAUCACCACACCUGGCAGCUGUUCAGGCUCCAACAGACUUAAUGGCACCCACCUGAGAAAUAGGCAGAGCGGACACAACACUUUGUAUAAUUUAACUUUCAUUCACUAGACAAGUACGCAUUGAGAAGCUCCUCUAUGCCAGUCUCUGAACACAUAGAUGACCUCAAGAACAUUACAGCUUAAUUGGGGGACAGAUAUUGCAUUCAUAAUUGCCAC